CCUACGGGAGGCAGCAGUGAGGAAUAUUGGUCAAUGGACGAGAGUCUGAACCAGCCAAGUAGCGUGAAGGAUGACUGCCCUAUGGGUUGUAAACUUCUUUUAUAUGGGAAUAAAAUGUUCCACGUGUGGGAUUUUGUAUGUACCAUAUGAAUAAGGAUCGGCUAACUCCGUGCCAGCAGCCGCGGUAAUACGGAGGAUCCGAGUUUUAUCCGGAUUUAUUGGGUUUAAAGGGAGCGUAGGUGGAUUGGUAAGUCAGUUGUGAAAGUUUGCGGCUCAACCGUAAAAUUGCAGUUGAAACUGGCAGUCUUGAGUACAGUAGAGGUGGGCGGAAUUCGUGGUGUAGCGGUGAAAUGCUUAGAUAUCACGAAGAACUCCGAUUGCGAAGGCAGUUCACUGGACUGCAACUGACACUGAGGCUCGAAAGUGUGGGUAUCAAACAGGAUUAGAUACCCUAGUAGUC
This 460-nucleotide ribosomal RNA is filed under the name uncultured bacterium. Its description in RNAcentral is "partial 16S ribosomal RNA". It matches the Rfam family "Bacterial small subunit ribosomal RNA", at positions 338 to 795 of the family's 1533-position model. The record is from RNAcentral.